CGACGAGUUUGAUCCUGGCUCAGAUUGAACGCUGGCGGAAUGCUUUACACAUGCAAGUCGAACGGCAACACGGGGGCAACCCUGGUGGCGAGUGGCGAACGGGUGAGUAAUACAUCGGAACGUGCCCAGUCGUGGGGGAUAACGUAGCGAAAGCUACGCUAAUACCGCAUACGAUCUACGGAUGAAAGCGAGGGAUCGCAAGACCUCGCGCGAUUGGAGCGGCCGAUGGCAGAUUAGGUAGUUGGUGGGGUAAAGGCUCACCAAGCCUUCGAUCUGUAGCUGGUCUGAGAGGACGACCAGCCACACUGGGACUGAGACACGGCCCAGACUCCUACGGGAGGCAGCAGUGGGGAAUUUUGGACAAUGGGCGAAAGCCUGAUCCAGCCAUUCCGCGUGCAGGAUGAAGGCCCUCGGGUUGUAAACUGCUUUUGUACGGAACGAAACGGCCUUUUCUAAUACAGAGGGCUAAUGACGGUACCGUAAGAAUAAGCACCGGCUAACUACGUG
Molecule: ribosomal RNA, 507 nt
Filed under: uncultured bacterium
Lineage: Bacteria
Description: bacterial SSU rRNA
Rfam family: Bacterial small subunit ribosomal RNA
Source: RNAcentral